CCUACGGGAGGCAGCAGUGGGGAAUUUUGGACAAUGGGCGCAAGCCUGAUCCAGCCAUACCGCGUGCGGGAAGAAGGCCUGCGGGUUGUAAAGCACUUUCAGUUGGGAAGAUAAUGACGUUACCAACAGAAGAAGCACCGGCUAACUCCGUGCCAGCAGCCGCGGUAAUAA
RNAcentral lists this ribosomal RNA (171 nucleotides) under uncultured bacterium. RNAcentral's name for it is "partial 16S ribosomal RNA". It matches the Rfam family "Bacterial small subunit ribosomal RNA", at positions 338 to 526 of the family's 1533-position model. The record is from RNAcentral.